RNAcentral lists this ribosomal RNA (497 nucleotides) under uncultured bacterium. RNAcentral describes it as "partial 16S ribosomal RNA". It matches the Rfam family "Bacterial small subunit ribosomal RNA", at positions 28 to 507 of the family's 1533-position model. The record is from RNAcentral.
GACGAACGCUGGCGGCGUGCCUAAUACAUGCAAGUUGAGCGCUGAAGGUUGGUACUUGUACCGACUGGAUGAGCAGCGAACGGGUGAGUAACGCGUGGGGAAUCUGCCUUUGAGCGGGGGACAACAUUUGGAAACGAAUGCUAAUACCGCAUAAAAACUUUAAACACAAGUUUUAAGUUUGAAAGAUGCAAUUGCAUCACUCAAAGAUGAUCCCGCGUUGUAUUAGCUAGUUGGUGAGGUAAAGGCUCACCAAGGCGAUGAUACAUAGCCGACCUGAGAGGGUGAUCGGCCACAUUGGGACUGAGACACGGCCCAAACUCCUACGGGAGGCAGCAGUAGGGAAUCUUCGGCAAUGGACGAAAGUCUGACCGAGCAACGCCGCGGGAGUGAAGAAGGGUGUCGGAUCGUAAAACUCUGUUGGUAGAGAAGAACGUUGGUGAGAGUGGAAAGCUCAUCAAGUGACGGUAACUACACAGAAAGGGACGGCUAACUACGUG